Dipodomys spectabilis (banner-tailed kangaroo rat) is the source of this 3120-nucleotide RNA transcript. It is a transcript of the gene named RUN and FYVE domain containing 2, with no coding region annotated. Lineage: Eukaryota; Metazoa; Chordata; Mammalia; Rodentia; Heteromyidae. The transcript is spliced from 19 exons. The record is from RefSeq and is a predicted model, not a curated record.
AUGCUUUCAGCUACAAAAGACCCCAUUGCAGUAGAGAGAGCCAACCUGUUGAACAUGGCAAAGCUGAGCAUCAAAGGACUCAUUGAAUCUGCGCUAAGCUUUGGCCGCACUUUGGACUCGGACUAUCCCCCUCUGCAGCAAUUCUUUGUUGUAAUGGAACACUGUCUGAAACAUGGUCUUAAAGUAAGAAAGUCAUUUUUGAGUUAUAACAAAACUAUUUGGGGCCCUUUGGAAUUGGUGGAAAAGCUCUACCCAGAAGCAGAGGAAAUAGGAGCCAGUGUCCGGGAUUUACCUGGUCUUAAGACCCCCCUGGGUCGAGCAAGAGCCUGGCUUCGAUUAGCUCUCAUGCAAAAAAAAAUGGCUGAUUACCUGCGCUGCUUAAUUAUUCAGAGGGAUCUCUUGAGUGAGUUCUAUGAGUAUCAUGCGUUAAUGAUGGAAGAAGAAGGAACAGUAAUUGUUGGGCUGCUGGUUGGCCUGAAUGUGAUAGAUGCUAAUCUGUGUGUAAAGGGCGAAGAUUUAGACUCACAAGUUGGAGUGAUUGAUUUUUCCAUGUAUUUAAAGAAUGAAGAAGAUAUUGGAAAUAAAGAGAGGAAUGUUCAAAUUGCAGCCAUCUUAGAUCAAAAGAAUUACGUUGAAGAAUUAAACAGACAGCUCAACAGUACAGUCAGCACCCUCCAUUCCAGAGUUGAUUCAUUGGAAAAGUCAAAUACUAAGCUGAUUGAAGAGUUAGCAAUAGCAAAGAAUAAUAUCAUUAAACUACAAGAAGAAAACCACCAAUUGCGAAGUGAGAAUAAAUUGAUUUUAAUGAAAACACAGCAGCAUAUGGAGGUGACCAAAGUGGAUGUGGAAACUGAGCUUCAAACCUACAAACAUUCUCGGCAGGGUCUGGAUGAAAUGUACAAUGAUGCCAGAAGGCAGCUUCGAGAUGAGUCACAGCUCCGGCAGGAUGUGGAGAAUGAGCUUUCCGUCCAAGUGAGUAUGAAACAUGAGAUUGAACUUGCCAUGAAGUUGUUGGAGAAAGAUAUCCACGAGAAACAAGACACCCUGAUAGGCCUUCGGCAGCAACUAGAAGAAGUGAAAGCCAUUAACAUAGAGAUGUAUCAAAAGUUGCAGGGCUCUGAAGACGGUUUGAAAGAAAAAAAUGAAAUAAUCGCCCAACUAGAAGAAAAAACCAAUAAAAUCACUACAGCCAUGAGGCAGCUGGAACAAAGAUUGCAGCAAGCAGAGAAGGCGCAAGUGGAAGCUGAAGAUGAGGAUGAGAAAUAUCGACAAGAAUGCCUCAGUAAAUCUGACAGUCUGCAGAAACAAAUUUCCCAAAAGGAGAAACAGCUGGUGCGACUGGAAACUGACUUGAAGAUUGAAAAGGAAUGGAGGCAGACUUUGCAGGAAGAUCUUCAAAAGGAGAAAGAUGCCUUAUCUCAUCUUAGACAUGAAACCCAACAAAUCAUUAGUCUUAAAAAAGAAUUUCUUAACCUUCAGGAUGAAAAUCAGCAGUUGAAGAAAAUAUAUCAUGAACAAGAACAAGCUCUUCAAGAACUUGGCAACAAACUUAGCGAAUCCAAACUGAAAAUAGAAGAUAUAAAAGAAGCCAACAAAGCAUUGCAGGGACUGGUUUGGCUGAAAGACAAAGAAGCAACACAUUGUAAGCUUUGUGAAAAGGAAUUCUCACUUUCUAAGAGAAAGCACCACUGUAGAAACUGUGGGGAAAUUUUCUGUAAUGCCUGCUCUGACAACGAACUGCCUUUGCCUUCUUCACCAAAGCCAGUACGAGUCUGUGAUUCCUGUCAUGCAUUACUCAUUCAGAGAUGCUCAUCUAACUUGCCAUAAAACUCCAGAACUAAGUCCUUCCUGUAUGACAGUACCUGCAAUGAAUAUUCCAUGUAUGCAAGGAUCAUCCAUCCUGUGUUCCUCAGCCUUGAGUGCUGGGGUUAUAUGCCACCACAUCUAGCCUGUAGGCUUUUCAUUUCGGCAAGAUUCCAACAGGAAGGACAAGCAAAACAAGUUUUCCAAAGUCAACAAAAUGUUUCUACAGCUUGAUACUAAUCAAGUAUCUCUGAAAAAGGAGGUCCCAAAACUCAGGGAACAAAAGUCAGAGAUAUUUUGAAGAGAUCUACUACUUAAGUUUUUUUUUUCUUAAAAGAAAAAUAGCAACAAACCCAAGAAGCCAGUUAUUUCCUGUUAAGCAUGAUUUAACAAGAGGAAAGAGUGGAACGGAUGUUAUACCAAGCAUUAAUUUCUCAUUAAACUCUUCACAAAGAUCUUAAUAGUGUGGUGUGUUGACAUUUCUUUUUUGUUCUGAAGACAGGAUCUUGCUGUACAGCCUAGACUAGCCUGAAUUCCUCUGCCUCCACCUCAGGAGUGCUGGUAUACUUCUUCUUCUUUUUUUUUUUUAAUGAAUGUUUUUUUUGGAAUGAAGGCUGUUUUUCAAAUUACAAGGUAGUGAUAGUUUGAAAACUUGGAAAGUACUAAAACCCACUGAAAUGUGUAUUUUUACAUGUAAAUUGUAUAACAAAACUGCUAAGGAUCAUCUGUUAACUAAAAUAUAUGACUCUAACAUGGAGAUUUUAAGUAAAAAAUACAAAAACCUGUUUACCAAGGGAGGACAAAAGAUGGCAGACAAGGCAAUCAGAUAAAUUUCCUCAAUUAUGAUAGAUGAAAAGAUGAACAAGAGAGCAGGAUAAGAAGUCAGCAGUCUGUCUAAUCCAGUAAGGAAAGCUCAGUCCUGUCAUAUUGCUUGAUGGCAUUUCUAGGUUAUCUGUCCUUUGGAAGGCCACUAAAAACCUGUUUUGUGGAUUUUUUUUUAAACCAAAAUUUGAUAAACUUCCUUGGCAAUCUUGACAAAGCACCAUGAAACAUUUAACAGGCAGCAACUUUAAGAAAAGUUUAUUUUUCCUAAAGCUGCAAAGUAGGUAAUCGACUUCUUAUAAAGAUUUAAGUGUUUCACUGGAAACAUUCUCAGACUUUUACCUAUCCCUUUUGUGUUGUCUCCAAGAAAGCUACCAACACGGUCCUGAUUCUGAGGACCUAUUCACCCCCUCCCCCCACGUGAUUAGGCUUAUACUUUUUUGCUUAAUAGGCUUAUCACCGGGUUCAAAAUACAGUUCUAGCCUAUACUAAAAA